This is an RNA transcript of Acipenser ruthenus (sterlet), 5223 nucleotides long. It is a transcript of the gene named E3 ubiquitin-protein ligase RNF43, with no coding region annotated. The record is from RefSeq and is a predicted model, not a curated record. NCBI's taxonomy places the organism in Eukaryota, Metazoa, Chordata, Actinopteri, Acipenseriformes, Acipenseridae. The transcript is spliced from 11 exons.
CCCAGGGGAGGGAAGCAGAGAGCAGGGAACGAAACAUUGCAAUCCACAGCCUUCCUCUUCUCUGAACAACUUUCCAGGACUCCGUUUGAAGUCUGUUUUACAAGUCUUCUCGUGCUGUUACACAACUUUUUAAAUUGCAUCUUUCAAACGUAUCGAUCCCUGCUGGAUUUCUGUGCAUAAUUUACACCAACGGGUUUGAAUUUCGUGUCUUAAAUGAGCUCGUUUUGAUUCUAUGGAAACCUGAGCUGGAAUGUGCUGGAAGUGGCAGCUAGGGAAACUGUUUUGAAAAUUAAUUGGAAAAAGUUUUGUAUACCCAACCCGUGGAGUGAUUACAAAACGUACAUGUGGGUAAAAGGCUGAUGGAUUAUAAAUUCUAUAUAUUAUUGAUAUAUACAUUUUCUACGAGUCUGUCUUAGUGUAAGUUUUUAUUUUUAUUUUUAUGGGCAGUUCGGGUAACUACAAUGUUUUUACCUUCAUUAUCAUGGAGUAAUGUUUGAGGAUCUGGGAUCAACAUUUCUUUCGCUUGCUUGGAAUCGUUCCGUCUUAGUAUAAAACACAACUUCUAAAGCAACAUGAACACGCUGUUUUUAUUCCUGUGGUUUGUGCCAGUAACCCUCGACUUCAGAGUUUGAUAUAUACAUUGUUGUAAUGUACUGAAAUGGUAAUUUUAAAGUUCCCAGCGUUGUUUCAAUGCAGUAGAUCGCUUUGGAAAAUCUCUUUUUAACUCUUUAUAUACUUCAAACUAUAUUGCUGAUAUUUUUUGGUAUUCUAUAUUUGCUGGGGAUUAACUGGAAUCUUCGUUGUUUUUUUAAAUCCUUGAAUGUUACAAGUGUCCAGCGGAGUUCAAAUAGACUUGACUAUUUUGUUAAAGUUUUGAAUGUUGUGCAGAAGCCGAGUUAAGCUGGGUUUCCUAACUGGAGGGAAUCCCCAAACUGGACUCGGUUUAAACACACUAAACUCCCUGGAUUAAACACAGUAGGGCCCGCAAAUGAGAUUAAAACUUCCCUUGGGAAAUCUGGAAUCUUAAAAUGUGGACAGUCAAAGAGAGCGUCCCCAUUCCUGCAUCCAUUCAGGCUGGAAGUGUUCACAAAGCGAAAAACAAGCAAGAUCUGUAAAAAUAUGUACAAGUAUGUUUCCUUAUGUCCUGUCGAAUUACCACUGCUGUCGAAUUUACUGAGGGUUUCUGUAGCAGUUCAACGAAUUCAGCAGACAGUUUAAUAAUAGGUGUUGCGUUUUGUAGAAACUUUUUUUUUUCGUUGAGUCGUUUAUGUAAUGCAGUACAACACCACACGUAUAUUUCAUGUUUUUGAAAGUAAGAAAGUUGCACGUUAUCAGCCGAAAACUCUCAUAAGUUAAAACGCUGUAGAAUUUUAGAUAAUAACUUUGAGCCAUACUUUUUAAGAAGGAAUAAAUAACAAUAAACCUGCAAUUAAACGUGAGAUUUUUCUCCAGGCAACCCACGUGCAAAAAGUGUUUUGGAUACAAUUUCAAAAGGCUUGAUUUUUCCAACAGGUUGCAGUGAUAUAUUUUUUUCCCCCUCAAUCCUUUUGUUUUUUUUUUUCGUUUUUGGAUAUAUAUUUUUCUAGCUAGCUUGAGUACGCUGUCAGUCAGCCUCCCAGUGCACAAUGUGCGGCCGGGGCCCGCCGCUGCAAUGACCGUUCCUCAGCGGCAACUCGCCGGGCUCUGGCCGUGGCUGCUAAUGGCGGCCCUUCAGGUAGUGCUCGGGCAGACAGGACUGGAGCUGGCGGCGGCGGCGGCGGCGUCGGAACGGUCUGCGACCAAAGCUGUCAUCAAAGUGACACUUCUCAAACCAGACUCGGCGGGGAAGUCUUACAUGGAAGUGGAGGGGGUGUUCGCGGGAAGCAACGGAAGGGGUUCAACCGAAGGGAAGCUGAUGCAGUCCCACCCGCUGUCCCUGUGUAACACGAGCGACGACGAGCAGCAGGAGGCGCUGUUUAUCAGCAUUGUCAAGUUGGAGAGUCCUGACAGAGAGCUGCAUCCCUGCCUGUCGCUGCUCAAAAAGGCACGCCUGGCAUUGGAUCGGGGAGCUCAAGCUGUCAUCUUCGACGUUACUGAUGAUGCAACAGCUGCUGAAAAGCUGCGUCAGUCUGAUGAUCUGCUCAAACCGGUGGUGCUGGUCCAGGCCAAGGAUGCCGAGACCCUCAUGGAGCUCGUCAACAACAACCAGGAGGCCACAGUGCAGAUCGAUGUCCGGCUCGAGCAGGAAGGGCAGCACUAUGAUGUUGGGAUCCUCCUCACUGUGGUUACUGCCUUGCUGGUUAUCAUCCUGAUUUUUGCCUUUCGCUUCAGGUGUAGACAGAACAGGAACAGGGAUUCCAUGCAGCAGCAGACUAUCCGUGCCAUCAGCCGUCUGCAGACCCGGAUGUACAAAUCCCAGUGCCGCUCGGGGAGCCAGAGGUCAAGGGGCAAGUGGGACUCCGCCAGCAGCAGCAACUCCAGCCCUGUGUGUGUCAUCUGCCUGGAGGAGUUUGCCGAUGGACAGAACCUGCGUGUUAUUUCGUGCUUUCAUGAGUUUCACAAGAAGUGCGUGGACCCCUGGCUGCUCCAGCAUCGUACCUGCCCGCUCUGCCUGCACAACAUAAUGGAGGCAGAAUCUAUGCCCGGACAAAUCACCCCUGGGAGACACCUGCAGCAGCACCCCUCUGCCAUCCCCCUGCGGCCCUACCCCCACUCAGCCCCAAGGCAGCCCACCCACAUGGGCCGCUACUUUCCACCUCCUCCUUUGGACCCUGCCACUGUCAGGUAUCUGCCCAACAGACAGCUGGUACCAGUCCUUCAGAGGUGCAGCUACAGCCACGGCGAGGGGCUUCCAAUCAGGCAGUACACCAACAUGUGCUGCAGGCCCCCUUUUCCACCUGAGCAGCAUUAUCAAGGCAGGCCCUGCGCCCCUCUGCACCGAUCAGCCUGGUCAGCCCCACGCAGUGCCCCCAACUCCCGGCACCACAGCCGAGGGGGUGGGCACAGCCGGCAGGACGACGGGAGCUGCUCGGGGGGCAGCUUUCGGACAGAGAAGAGCGGCUACCUGGCUGACGGGCCUGGCAGUGACUCCAGCUCAGGGCCUUGUCACGGCUCCUCCAGUGACUCUGUUCUCAACUGCACCGACGUCAGCCUCCAAGCCGUCUACGGGAGCUGGUCCACCUUCCGCAGCUCCCUGAGCAGUGACUACGAUCCCUUUGUCUACUGCGGUGAGAGUGGAGGAGGAAUGGAGAGCGGAGGCAGACCCAGGUCUUUGGACUCCAUGGUCAAUCGGACUGGUUCCUGCCCAGAGGAGCAGGUUUUCAACCAUGUCCACUUCCACCGACACAGACACCACCACUAUGGAGAGGGCCGGAGCAGCGACCAUAGGCCUGCCAGGAGCUCCGACAGGGAGCUGUGUACCUCCGAGUCUCCAGUCACGGACGGUUUACAAUCCAGGGUGGGUGAAGUGCACCACUGCCAGCCAAAAAGCUGCUCUGAAGGGCAGCACGACGCACCCAGCCUGUGUCCUUGUCCCAAAGCCGGGCAUGACCCUUCGGAGAGCCCAGCACCAAGAGCAGUAGAGGAGGGGCGAGAUGCAGAGGAGAAUGGACAGGCUCCUGCCAUGCUGCCUCUGCCCUGCUGCCACCACAGGAGCUGCGACUUCAACAGCCGCCACCACCACCGGAGGAAAAAGAGCAUCUGUCACCAUGACCCGCCGCCACCCAUGGUGCAGUUCCACCAGAGCGUGGACAUGCAGGAGGACUGCAGCAUCCACAUUCACUAUGGCCAUGUCUCAGGAUACCCCCCGGAUAACCAGCCGCUGGUGCCGGUCCCUCUCAUCCUGGACUCUACAGAGGCAGGGGACUGGCCCUGCUGCUCAGGGCACCACGUCGUGUGGCAGCGGCAGCUCCAGCAGGCAGGGUCAGAGCCCCUGCUGGAGGCGCCUAGACCCCCUGAGGAAAGGGAUCAGAGCAGGGGGGGGUCGGGGCCCAAGCCAGCACAGGAAGAUUGUUUAUACUGCCCAGACUCGCUCAGUAAUCAGGGAUCAGAAGAGGAGGCCGAGACGAUGGGUCAGCACACAGUGUAACCCUUAAAGGGCAAAAUAGUUGUUGAAUCAAGGUUGAGUCUUCCAGAGCCAGACCGACACAUUUUCUAUGUACAGCUCUCUGUGUGGUGUGGCGUCCUGUCUCUGUGGGCUGUGAUGAAAAGCCUGGCUGUCAUGGUGAGAUCUGUAGCACAAGGGAGAUUGGAAGAGUAAUAUACAAAUCCCACUAUGAUAAGUAAAGAUCCCCUUUAACCCAGUAAACCAUUCUGACUGAGCACUGGCCCAGACAGGGAGACACUGCAGCUAUUUCUAGUGCUGGCUUCUCACUGUAAACAUUGCAUAUAUGUGUGGAUGCCGUGGCACGCUAGCAGUUUCUUUUUAAGGACAAUCUUACCUGGUCCAGCCAUGUUCUGCACUGUUGAAUUAAAUUAAAUCUCCCUCAAGACCCUACAUUUGUUUAUUUUUUUUUUGACCAAUGAAACCCAGGACCAUGAUUGGGACCCCCCCACCACCCUAGUAGGUGACCAAAGGCCGCACCUUCAAGUCAAGUGACUGUCCCAGCUUGUGGUCAUCUACAGACUGCAGGAAAUCUCACAAAAUGACAACCAGUAAUCCAUCUUAUCACACCGUGGUGUCUGAUACCUUCUUCCAUAAGGAGGCAGUGAAACGUGAAUGAGGGAAGCUGCAGGAGUCACUAACUCAUUGGAAUAUUGAUUCCAGGCUGUCUGAUGAAAAGGUUGUUAUGAUGCAGGCUUCUCCAGAGAACAUCUGGCUGUCAUAUCUGGACUCAUUGGCAGCUAAUUUGUAUCGGAACAUGUCUUUGGCAGAGUGCUUUGAACUGACACAUAUUGUUGUCUUAAUUAAAGAUCUGUCAGUGACCUACUUUUUUCUUUUAAAAGCUAUUGAAAACUUGAUCAAGCUGUUCUUUUGGCUAUGGUUGCUAACUGAUAGAUGUUUUCCCUGCCUAGCUCCAAACUAAAUUUGAUGUUCUGUAGCAAGAAGUAUAAGCAGGGAACUGCAGCUUCAACAACACAACAUUUUGCACCACCCUAUAGAAUUAAUUUAGCUUCAUAAAGUUGAAUGAAACCUGCUGAAUAAUGUUACGUUAACAUAUUGAAUUACAUACCGCUUUGUAGUUUUCCAUACUUAAGAAAAACUGACAAGUUGAAAAAUGUGACAUUUCAAAAUCUAACAUAAAA